This 1549-nucleotide ribosomal RNA is filed under the name Enterococcus faecium EnGen0041. Its description in RNAcentral is "bacterial SSU rRNA". It matches the Rfam family "Bacterial small subunit ribosomal RNA". The record is from RNAcentral. Lineage: Bacteria; Bacillati; Bacillota; Bacilli; Lactobacillales; Enterococcaceae.
AGAGUUUGAUCCUGGCUCAGGACGAACGCUGGCGGCGUGCCUAAUACAUGCAAGUCGAACGCUUCUUUUUCCACCGGAGCUUGCUCCACCGGAAAAAGAGGAGUGGCGAACGGGUGAGUAACACGUGGGUAACCUGCCCAUCAGAAGGGGAUAACACUUGGAAACAGGUGCUAAUACCGUAUAACAAUCGAAACCGCAUGGUUUUGAUUUGAAAGGCGCUUUCGGGUGUCGCUGAUGGAUGGACCCGCGGUGCAUUAGCUAGUUGGUGAGGUAACGGCUCACCAAGGCCACGAUGCAUAGCCGACCUGAGAGGGUGAUCGGCCACAUUGGGACUGAGACACGGCCCAAACUCCUACGGGAGGCAGCAGUAGGGAAUCUUCGGCAAUGGACGAAAGUCUGACCGAGCAACGCCGCGUGAGUGAAGAAGGUUUUCGGAUCGUAAAACUCUGUUGUUAGAGAAGAACAAGGAUGAGAGUAACUGUUCAUCCCUUGACGGUAUCUAACCAGAAAGCCACGGCUAACUACGUGCCAGCAGCCGCGGUAAUACGUAGGUGGCAAGCGUUGUCCGGAUUUAUUGGGCGUAAAGCGAGCGCAGGCGGUUUCUUAAGUCUGAUGUGAAAGCCCCCGGCUCAACCGGGGAGGGUCAUUGGAAACUGGGAGACUUGAGUGCAGAAGAGGAGAGUGGAAUUCCAUGUGUAGCGGUGAAAUGCGUAGAUAUAUGGAGGAACACCAGUGGCGAAGGCGGCUCUCUGGUCUGUAACUGACGCUGAGGCUCGAAAGCGUGGGGAGCAAACAGGAUUAGAUACCCUGGUAGUCCACGCCGUAAACGAUGAGUGCUAAGUGUUGGAGGGUUUCCGCCCUUCAGUGCUGCAGCUAACGCAUUAAGCACUCCGCCUGGGGAGUACGACCGCAAGGUUGAAACUCAAAGGAAUUGACGGGGGCCCGCACAAGCGGUGGAGCAUGUGGUUUAAUUCGAAGCAACGCGAAGAACCUUACCAGGUCUUGACAUCCUUUGACCACUCUAGAGAUAGAGCUUCCCCUUCGGGGACAAAGUGACAGGUGGUGCAUGGUUGUCGUCAGCUCGUGUCGUGAGAUGUUGGGUUAAGUCCCGCAACGAGCGCAACCCUUAUUGUUAGUUGCCAUCAUUCAGUUGGGCACUCUAGCAAGACUGCCGGUGACAAACCGGAGGAAGGUGGGGAUGACGUCAAAUCAUCAUGCCCCUUAUGACCUGGGCUACACACGUGCUACAAUGGGAAGUACAACGAGUCGCGAAGUCGCGAGGCUAAGCUAAUCUCUUAAAGCUUCUCUCAGUUCGGAUUGCAGGCUGCAACUCGCCUGCAUGAAGCCGGAAUCGCUAGUAAUCGCGGAUCAGCACGCCGCGGUGAAUACGUUCCCGGGCCUUGUACACACCGCCCGUCACACCACGAGAGUUUGUAACACCCGAAGUCGGUGAGGUAACCUUUUUGGAGCCAGCCGCCUAAGGUGGGAUAGAUGAUUGGGGUGAAGUCGUAACAAGGUAGCCGUAUCGGAAGGUGCGGCUGGAUCACCU